UACGUAGGGUGCGAGCGUUAAUCGGAAUUACUGGGCGUAAAGCGUGCGCAGGCGGUUUUAUUAGACAGAUGUGAAAUCCCCGGGCUCAACCUAGGACCUGCAUUUGAGACUGUAAAGCUAGAGUACGGGAGGGGGGGGUGGAAUUCCGCGUGUAGCAGUGAAAUGCGUAGAUAUGCGGAGGAACACCGAGGGCGAAGGCAAUCCCCUGGACCUGUACUGACGCUCAUGCACGAAAGCGUGGGGAGCAAACAGGAUUAGAUACCCUGGUAGUCCACGCCCUAAACGAUGUCAACUGGUUGUUGGGUCUUCACUGACUCAGUAACGAAGCUAACGCGUGAAGUUGACCGCCUGGGGAGUACGGCCGCAAGGUUG
This 372-nucleotide ribosomal RNA is filed under the name uncultured prokaryote. Its description in RNAcentral is "bacterial SSU rRNA". It matches the Rfam family "Bacterial small subunit ribosomal RNA", at positions 524 to 896 of the family's 1533-position model. The record is from RNAcentral.